GCAUAUCAAUAAGCGGAGGAAAAGAAACUAACAAGGAUUCCCUUAGUAACGGCGAGUGAAGUGGGAAGAGUUCAAAUUUUAAAUCCCCGGGGUUCCCCCGGUGAAUUGUAUUUUGAAGAAAGUGUUUUGACAUUCGGUUUAAUCUAAAUCCUUUGGGAUAAGGUAUCACAGAGGGUGAGAAUCCCGUUCGUGAUUAGGCAUCGAGUGUCAUCCAAUUCACUUUCUAAGAGUCGAGUUGUUUGGGAUUGCAGCUCAAAAUGGGUGGUAAAUUUCACCUAAGGCUAAAUAUCAGCAAGAGACCAAUAGCGAACAAGUACCGUGAGGGAAAGAUGAAAAGAACUUUGAAAAGAGAGUUAAAUAGUACGUGAAAUUGUUGAAAGGGAAACGAUUGAAGUCAGUCAUGCUGGUGAGGAAUCAACAUGAGGGUUCGCUUUCGUGUGCACUUCUUCGCUUGGCAGGUUAGCAUCAAUUUUGGUCGUCAUAAAAUUAUCGGGGUAAGGUGGCUCCCCUCGGGGAGUGUUAUAGACCUUGGUAGAUGUGAUGACCGGGAUUGAGGAUUGCAGCGAAUGCUACUUGGCUAGUCACCUGGAUUUCUGUUGAUCACCUCGCCGUCGAUAGCUUUGCUAACCUCGGUGGGAUCUGAUUAACUAGAGAUUAGACUAAUCGUAANUUCGCUAAGGAUGCUGACGUAAUGGCUUUAAACGACCCGUCUUGAAACACGGACCAAGGAGUCUAACAUAUGUGCGAGUGUUA
RNAcentral lists this ribosomal RNA (753 nucleotides) under Acaulospora colombiana. RNAcentral's name for it is "eukaryotic LSU rRNA". It matches the Rfam family "Eukaryotic large subunit ribosomal RNA", at positions 38 to 695 of the family's 3401-position model. Lineage: Eukaryota; Fungi; Glomeromycota; Glomeromycetes; Diversisporales; Acaulosporaceae. The record is from RNAcentral.